This is a long non-coding RNA of Helianthus annuus (common sunflower), 840 nucleotides long. RefSeq lists it as uncharacterized. The transcript is spliced from 4 exons. NCBI's taxonomy places the organism in Eukaryota, Viridiplantae, Streptophyta, Magnoliopsida, Asterales, Asteraceae. The record is from RefSeq and is a predicted model, not a curated record.
CCAAACAUGUCGUAAAUAAGUAAAUAGUAUAGAAAAUAUAUGGGUUUGGGGUUAAGAGUAGAAAAAGAAAAGGUUAGGGUUUCGCUGCCUUCUUCUCCACGACCGUACACUCCGUGAUUUUCCGGCAACGUGAAAUUGGCCACAGUAACCACCAUCAGAUAAGUUGCUGAUAAGUUCCAGUAUUAUCUUUGAGCUUCUGGGCGUUCUUCCGAAACUUCAAGAGCUAUAUUUGGAAUUUCUACAGUGCAAGUUUUUAGAAGACGAUGCUAAAAAGAGGUCCCCUACCACCUUUCCCUGCCUCAAGACACUUAAAUUAUUAGCAAUCAAUUUAGAAAAUGGUAUUAUGUUUGCUUUUGAAUUGAUUAAGAGCUUCCCGAAUCUGCAGACCCUUGAAAUCACAUCAAGUUGUCAGAAAAAUAUCCUGGUACCUACAGUUUGUUCUCUAGAUGUAGACUACAAUACAAUGGGGAUGUUUCAGCUUCGAAGUGUUGUCUUUACAUAUUCUAAAGCUUCAGAGAGUGAAGUAUGUUUGAUAAAGUAUUUACUUGCGUGUUCUCCUUUCCUAAAAAAGAUAGUUAUUCGUCCCCACAGCUGUCUAGUACUCGGUGAACAAUUGAUGUUUGCUAGGAAGUUGUUGAAGCUCCAUCGCGCUUCCCCCAAUGUUGACAUCAAUCUAUGCUAGUUUUAUUUCUAUUGAACCCUUUUUUUCCCUGCAUAUUCCAUAGUUUUUGUGUAAGUUUGUAUAUGCUCUUGGCACCACUCUUAGCUUACUUAUGUAAUCCAAGUGGAACUUGUGUUUUUAGAUAUGGAUAUGGUUAUGAUAAUGGUACUUGUUUGGUU